UUGUUAUUUCAGCGACUCUCGAUACUACAAUUGGCGACGAGGAACAAAAUGGCGCAUUCAUUGGUUCAUUCCAGAUUUAGCCACCUUAACUGAUCCUCUCCGUCAACUAACCAAACAUCAAAACAGGUUUGUUUGGAACCGUGAUCAUGAAUACAUUCGACUCGUUUGCUUCCAUCAAUCGCAGCCAACAACAUCCGUUUUCCUGCAGCAGUAACCUCCAACCCCUGUUGGCAAUGCCGGGGGACAGCAUCAACAGCAGCAGCAGCAGAAUUUGACCAUGGUAUGGUUUGCGAAGAACUUUCCCCAUUAGAGGUUUCGUGCUUCGCGCACAUUCAAAAAUCCUCUUCAGACACGAAAACUCAACGACAAGGAGGUAUUUAUCAACUUGCUCAGCUGAAUUACCACCCCGGAGGAACCCGAAUGCACUGAUUCCGUAGUAUAGUAGAAUGAAAAUAGGCGAGGUUAGCGAACGUAAUCGCAUGAUAUUUUAAUGUUCGCAUUUUUAUCCGGAUCAUACAACUGCUAUGAAUACAUCCGACUCAAUCAAUCGGCGAGUGAGAAAGAUGAUUUCCCUCAUCACCACAUUGCUUAUUUCCACUUCUGUCACACCAGCCAACAGCAUCAGCUUCCCGCAGCAGUAUCCUUUAAGUCCAGGGUGCUAUUCCGGGGAACAGCAUCAACAGCAACAGCAGCAGGACCUGGCCAUCGAUAGUAUUUCGAGCAAUUUUCCCCAUCGGAGAUCCCGUGCUUCACGCACAUUGAAGAAUCCUCCUCAGCCACAUAUCUGUGUCAUCAAGGGCAAGGAGGUAUUCAUCAAUGUACUCAGUCGGAUUUGAAUCGUCAAUCCAGACAACCCGGAUGCACCGAUUCCAUUAUAUACCUUAUGUUUAUUAUACAUGGUUUUUUAUUAUUAUUUUUUCAAUAAAAUGAUUAAAAUCGA
Long non-coding RNA from Toxorhynchites rutilus septentrionalis, 940 nucleotides. RefSeq lists it as uncharacterized. The record is from RefSeq and is a predicted model, not a curated record. NCBI's taxonomy places the organism in Eukaryota, Metazoa, Arthropoda, Insecta, Diptera, Culicidae. The transcript is spliced from 4 exons.